This 253-nucleotide ribosomal RNA is filed under the name uncultured bacterium. RNAcentral describes it as "partial 16S ribosomal RNA". It matches the Rfam family "Bacterial small subunit ribosomal RNA", at positions 524 to 776 of the family's 1533-position model. The record is from RNAcentral.
UACGGGGGGGGCAAGCGUUGUUCGGAAUUACUGGGCGUAAAGGGCUCGUAGGCGGCCAACUAAGUCAGACGUGAAAUCCCUCGGCUUAACCGGGGAACUGCGUCUGAUACUGGAUGGCUUGAGUUUGGGAGAGGGAUGCGGAAUUCCAGGUGUAGCGGUGAAAUGCGUAGAUAUCUGGAGGAACACCGGUGGCGAAGGCGGCAUCCUGGACCGAUAUUGACGCUGAGGCGCGAAAGCCAGGGGAGCAAACGGG